AAAAAGGUAAGCUAAUAAAGCUAUUAGGCUCAUAACCUAAAUAUAGAACUAGAUUUUUCUUCUUUUUA
Molecule: transfer RNA, 68 nt
Filed under: Extensus latus
Lineage: Eukaryota; Metazoa; Arthropoda; Insecta; Hemiptera; Cicadellidae
Description: tRNA-Met
Source: RNAcentral